UAAAAAUACAGAUGUAAAUAAAAGAACAUUUUUUUUCAUCUUCAUUUGUUUUACCACUAUACUUCACCCCAUCUAGCCAAUUAGUACACCAGUGUUUCAUACUUACAUGCAAAUACACCAUACGGUGAUAUGACUCUUCAGAAGAGAAAAACAAACGAAUACAUAAUCGAACUCGGAUCUUAAAUCUUUGAAUAGCAGCAGUAUAUAUUUUUUGUUUUGCGGGAACAACAGUUGGCACCCCAACAGGCAACAGCCCAUCACUCCCCUGAAAUAAUAACAGAGGAAAUAACGUGCUGAAUUAACAAACACCUGGAGAUAGUCUCUGAGCUUAGGUAUUUUCAAAAUGAAAAAAAAAUGCUCAAUCAUGCGCGUACCUUCAUCCGUUACAUACAGUACACUGGGACGCACCUGAUAACUCAGUCUCAGCUUCCCCUUCAAAAAACAUACUGUAUUUGUUAACUCCUUGGUGGAUUUCUUCCAAAUUUUCCAUGCAAGAACAGCCACAUAUUUGCUAACUAAUGACACGAAAAGAAAAGGACGUGCUACACCUACAGUGUCACACACUAACCAACCGUGUUCCCUUUUUCCAACGGAAGCCAAUAUCCUUCUUCAUCGGUCUUUCCAGGAAAUUGCCAGCCACUGGUUCCUUCGCUUGGUUCACAUAAGGAAGCAAGAUUUUAUGCGUAACUACGAGGAAUAGACAGAAUGUUCCCUCUGGAGACUUGG
Molecule: long non-coding RNA, 726 nt
Filed under: Triticum aestivum (bread wheat)
Lineage: Eukaryota; Viridiplantae; Streptophyta; Magnoliopsida; Poales; Poaceae
Description: long non-coding RNA (TAES_LNC008499)
Source: RNAcentral